UGAAGAAGGUUUUCGGAUCGUAAAGCUCUGUUGUAAGAGAAGAACGAGUGUGAGAGUGGAAAGUUCACACUGUGACGGUAUCUUACCAGAAAGGGACGGCUAACUACGUGCCAGCAGCCGCGGUAAUACGUAGGUCCCGAGCGUUGUCCGGAUUUAUUGGGCGUAAAGCGAGCGCAGGCGGUUAGAUAAGUCUGAAGUUAAAGGCUGUGGCUUAACCAUAGUACGCUUUGGAAACUGUUUAACUUGAGUGCAAGAGGGGAGAGUGGAAUUCCAUGUGUAGCGGUGAAAUGCGUAGAUAUAUGGAGGAACACCGGUGGCGAAAGCGGCUCUCUGGCUUGUAACUGACGCUGAGGCUCGAAAGCGUGGGGAGCAAACAGGAUUAGAUACCCUGGUAGUCCACGCCGUAAACGAUGAGUGCUAGGUGUUAGACCCUUUCCGGGGCUUAGUGCCGCAGCUAACGCAUUAAGCACUCCGCCUGGGGAGUACGACCGCAAGGUUGAAACUCAAGGAAUUGACGGGC
RNAcentral lists this ribosomal RNA (520 nucleotides) under Streptococcus sp. oral taxon 058. RNAcentral's name for it is "bacterial SSU rRNA". It matches the Rfam family "Bacterial small subunit ribosomal RNA", at positions 406 to 918 of the family's 1533-position model. The record is from RNAcentral. Lineage: Bacteria; Bacillati; Bacillota; Bacilli; Lactobacillales; Streptococcaceae.